This 252-nucleotide ribosomal RNA is filed under the name Romboutsia timonensis. Its description in RNAcentral is "partial 16S ribosomal RNA". It matches the Rfam family "Bacterial small subunit ribosomal RNA", at positions 524 to 776 of the family's 1533-position model. Lineage: Bacteria; Bacillati; Bacillota; Clostridia; Peptostreptococcales; Peptostreptococcaceae. The record is from RNAcentral.
UACGUAGGGGGCUAGCGUUAUCCGGAAUUACUGGGCGUAAAGGGUGCGUAGGUGGUUUCUUAAGUUAGAGGUGAAAGGCUACGGCUCAACCGUAGUAAGCCUUUGAAACUGGGAAACUUGAGUGCAGGAGAGGAGAGUGGAAUUCCUAGUGUAGCGGUGAAAUGCGUAGAUAUUAGGAGGAACACCAGUUGCGAAGGCGGCUCUCUGGACUGUAACUGACACUGAGGCACGAAAGCGUGGGGAGCAAACAGG